Magnolia sinica is the source of this 1473-nucleotide long non-coding RNA. RefSeq lists it as uncharacterized. The transcript has 2 exons. The record is from RefSeq and is a predicted model, not a curated record. Lineage: Eukaryota; Viridiplantae; Streptophyta; Magnoliopsida; Magnoliales; Magnoliaceae.
UGCAAGAUCUCAGACUUUAGAUCAUACUAAUUCAGAAACAAUGACAUAAAAAUUCAACAUCCCACAUGAAAGUCCAAACCAUUAAUUAAGGGGAAUUUGCACGAGUCCAGGCUUACACAUGAUAGGGUUGGAUCAAUAAAAUUUAUGAACUAAACGAUGCUCAAAGAUAAGCAGUAAUCAUCCAGACAUGCAUAGCAAUCAGUCCCUAAACCAAUGGAUUUACCAAUUUCAAUUCAAGGAACCCUAGGGUGAGAAAAGGGGCAAACAAAUUAAUGAUAAUGCAAUCUAGGGUUAGAGUUUAUGAAAAACUGGUAUGAGAGGGUAAAAUAAGAAGAAAACCCAAACCGGAAGACAGUUCCCACGCGCGGACAGCAACAAUGGCCCAGAUGCACAUGCGUGAGAUCACGGCUGCACGUAUGUGGGGCCCGCUAUUCAGAAAAAGGCCACCUUGGCCCUGAUUGGCCAGGGAUGGACUCCAAAACCCCCAAAUCUCAGCUCGAUCUGAUGCACGGUUUGUGCGUGGUGCUCCGCCGAAAUUUCAACCCUCCUGCAGGGCCAGAUUCUGGAAUCUGCUGUAGAGAGAAAAACGGCCGCAACUAUUGAUGAAUUUGCAGAUGGAAUGCUUGUAGGAGAAGAGAAAUAUGGAUGGAAGAAGGUAGGGGCGAAUCGAGAUAUAUGUGGCUUCGCACCACGGUAGUUAACCCUUCGAAGAAGGGAGGGCUUCACACCCAAUUAGGCUUCACAACUCAGAGAGUAGGAAAACGCAGAAUUUUUAUUAAUCAUCAAUGAAUCAAAAGAACUACAAGGGGUGCCUAUUUAUAAGAAAACUCUAUACCCCAAAACUCGGGCCAUGUGCGCAACCUAUUACUUGGCGAUGAAGUAAACUAAAAUAAAAACCAAACAAAAAUAUCUAAAGCAUUCAUGAUGUUCUAAAUAAUAACAAUAAGCAAAACCUAAAAUAUGAAAUCAAUCCGACUAGUGGGCUACGAUCAUGAGAUCCCAUGGUGGGCUUUUCUUGAUUGUCGGGCCCACUCUUUUGAAUCAAAACUUCGUCUCCUAACUAGGAGGCCCUCCCUGGAUGUCAUCAUCGAUCCAAAUCAACGGUGGGGUCCUUCUUCUGGCGUACGUGUGUUGGGGGCGGUGUGCGUGCGCUUGUGCGCGUGAUGUCCCCAUCACUUACUCUUUGUUGGUACAUAGAUCGCCCAAAGGCUUCUUCAAAGGCACGUGCGGAAUUCAACAAGGGGACCCACUUUCUCAAUCCUCUUCAUGUAGUGGCUGAGGUGCUUUGAAGGAUGUUGGAAAAGAGACAGAAACAAGGUAUUCAAAAUCGGUUACAUAUUGGCUGUAACGGCUGAUACAUAACGGUCAACCGUUACGCAAUAUGGCCCCAAAACGGGGCACCUCCAUUUUUUGGGUUUGUAAUGGCCAUUACGGUACCGUAACAAUUGUUACAGGCCAUAACCUUAAAGAAAA